This 497-nucleotide ribosomal RNA is filed under the name uncultured bacterium. RNAcentral describes it as "partial 16S ribosomal RNA". It matches the Rfam family "Bacterial small subunit ribosomal RNA", at positions 28 to 507 of the family's 1533-position model. The record is from RNAcentral.
GAUGAACGCUGGCGGCGUGCCUAAUACAUGCAAGUCGAGCGAACAGAUGAGGAGCUUGCUCCUCUGACGUUAGCGGCGGACGGGUGAGUAACACGUGGAUAACCUACCUAUAAGACUGGGAUAACUUCGGGAAACCGGAGCUAAUACCGGAUAAUAUAUUGAACCGCAUGGUUCAAUAGUGAAACACGGUUUUGCUGUCACUUAUAGAUGGAUCCGCGCCGCAUUAGCUAGUUGGUAAGGUAACGGCUUACCAAGGCAACCAUGCGUAGCCGACCUGAGAGGGUUAACGGCCACACUGGAACUGAGACACGGGCCAGACUCCUACGGGAGACAGCAGUAGGGAAUCCUCCGCAAUGUGCCGAAGCCUGACGGAGCAAAGACGCGUGAGUUAUGAAGGUCUUCGCAUCGUAAAACUCUGUAAUUAGGGAAGAACAAAUGUGUAAGUAACUAUGCACGUCUUGACGGUACCUAAGCAGAAUGCCAAGGCUAACUACGUG